GAUGAACGCUGGCGGCGUGCCUAAUACAUGCAAGUCGAGCGAACAGACGAGGAGCUUGCUCCUCUGACGUUAGCGGCGGACGGGUGAGUAACACGUGGAUACCCUACCUAUAAGACUGGGAUAACUUCGGGAAACCGGAGCUAAUACCGGAUAAUAUAUUGAACCGCAUGGUUCAAUAGAGAAAGACGGUUUUGCUGUCACUUAUAGAUGGUUCCGCGCCGCAUUAGCUAGUUGGUAAGGUAACGGCUUACCAAGGCAACGAUGCGUAGCCGACCUGAGAGGGUGAUCGGCCACACUGGAACUGAGACACGGUCCAGACUCCUACGGGAGGCAGCAGUAGGGAAUCUUCCGCAAUGGGCGAAAGCCUGACGGAGCAACGCCGCGUGAGUGAUGAAGGUCUUCGGAUCGUAAAACUCUGUUAUUAGGGAAGAACAAAUGUGUAAGUAACUAUGCACGUCUUGACGGUACCUAAUCAGAAAGCCACGGCUAACUACGUG
This 497-nucleotide ribosomal RNA is filed under the name uncultured bacterium. RNAcentral's name for it is "partial 16S ribosomal RNA". It matches the Rfam family "Bacterial small subunit ribosomal RNA", at positions 28 to 507 of the family's 1533-position model. The record is from RNAcentral.